GAUGAACGCUGGCUGCGUGCCUAAUACAUGCAAGUCGAGCGAACAGAUCAUGAGCUUGCUCCUCUUACUUUAGCUGCGCACGGGUGAGUAACACUUGGAUAUCCUCCCUCUAAGCCUGAGAUAACUUCGGGCAACCGGAGCUAAUACCAGAUCCUAUAUUUAACCGCCUGGUUCAAUAGUGAAAGACGGUUUUGCUGUCACUUAUAGAUGGAUCGGCGACGCAUUAGCUUGUUGGUAAGGUAACGGCUUACCAAGGCAACGAUGCGUAGCCGACCUGAGAGGGUGAUCGGCCACACUAGAACGGAGACGAGGUCCAGACUAAUACGGGAGGGAGGAGUGGGGAAACUAACGCAAUGGGAGAAAGCCUGACGUAGAAAAGCCGCGUGAGGGAUGAAGGUAUGCGGAUAGGAAAACUCUGUUAUUAGGGAAGAACAAAAGUGUAAGUAACUAGGCACGUCUUGACGGUACCUAAUCAGAAAGCAACGGCUAACUACGUG
This 497-nucleotide ribosomal RNA is filed under the name uncultured bacterium. Its description in RNAcentral is "partial 16S ribosomal RNA". It matches the Rfam family "Bacterial small subunit ribosomal RNA", at positions 28 to 507 of the family's 1533-position model. The record is from RNAcentral.